GUAGGUGGCAAGCGUUGUCCGGAAUUAUUGGGCGUAAAGCGCGCGCAGGCGGUUCUUUAAGUCUGAUGUGAAAGCCCACGGCUCAACCGUGGAGGGUCAUUGGAAACUGGAGAACUUGAGUACAGAAGAGGAAAGCGGAAUUCCACGUGUAGCGGUGAAAUGCGUAGAGAUGUGGAGGAACACCAGUGGCGAAGGCGGCUUUCUGGUCUGUAACUGACGCUGAGGCGCGAAAGCGUGGGGGAGCAAACAGGAUUAGAUACCCUGGUAGUCCACGCCGUAAACGAUGAGUGCUAAGUGUUAGGGGGUUUCCGCCCCUUAGUGCUGCAGCUAACGCAUUAAGCACUCCGCCUGGGGAGUACGGCCGCAAGGUCUAG
RNAcentral lists this ribosomal RNA (374 nucleotides) under uncultured organism. RNAcentral describes it as "partial 16S ribosomal RNA". It matches the Rfam family "Bacterial small subunit ribosomal RNA", at positions 527 to 898 of the family's 1533-position model. The record is from RNAcentral.